UUUUCCCUGCAGUGCUCGAAGCCAGCGGAUAUUUUUUGAGCCAACGCCUAUUCUUAAUGGACCUAACCUUCGAUCGCGGUGUGCAUGCCCCGCAAGGGGAAGCCUGAAACGGUUGAGGAGGUACCACCUUUUGAAUGGGUUCAAAGAUGCCGUUUGCCCGACACAGGCGGGGAAUUU
This is a non-coding RNA of Candidatus Edwardsbacteria bacterium GWF2_54_11, 177 nucleotides long. The record is from Rfam. NCBI's taxonomy places the organism in Bacteria, Candidatus Edwardsiibacteriota.